UCCGAGUUGACCCCGGCAGUCUCCUAUGAGUUCCCACCAUGACGUGCUGGCAACAUAGAACGAGGGUUGCGCUCGUUGCGGGACUUAACCCAACAUCUCACGACACGAGCUGACGACAGCCAUGCAGCACCUGUGUCCACGCCCCUUGCGGGGGCACCCAUCUCUGGGUCUUUCAGUGCCAUGUCAAGCCCUGGUAAGGUUCUUCGCGUUGCAUCGAAUUAAACCACACGCUCCGCUGCUUGUGCGGGUCCCCGUCAAUCCCUUUGAGUUUUAGGCUUGCGCCCGUACUCCCCAGGCGGGCUACUUACUGUGUUAACGCCGGCGCUGGAGGGGUCGAUACCCCCAACACCUAGUAGCCAUCGUUUACCGCGUGGACUAC
Molecule: unclassified non-coding RNA, 379 nt
Filed under: uncultured bacterium
Lineage: Bacteria
Description: contains 16S-23S intergenic spacer region
Source: RNAcentral